UGGGGAAUCUUCCGCAAUGGGCGAAAGCCUGACGGAGCAACGCCGCGUGAGUGAAGACGGCCUUCGGGUUGUAAAGCUCUGUUAUAUGGGACGAACGGGUGUAUGGUCAAUACCCAUACGCCGUGACGGUACCGUAAGAGAAAGCCACGGCUAACUACGUGCCAGCAGCCGCGGUAAUACGUAGGUGGCAAGCGUUGUCCGGAAUCAUUGGGCGUAAAGGGCGCGCAGGCGGUUCGGUAAGUCGGUCUUAAAAGUGCGGGGCUUAACCCCGUGAUGGGAUUGAAACUGCCGGACUGGAGUGUCGGAGAGGAAAGCAGAAUUCCUAGUGUAGCGGUGAAAUGCGUAGAUAUUAGGAGGAAUACCAGUGGCGAAAGCGGCUUUCUGGACGACAACUGACGCUGAGGCGCGAAAGCCAGGGGAGCAAACGGGAUUAGAU
RNAcentral lists this ribosomal RNA (436 nucleotides) under uncultured bacterium. RNAcentral describes it as "partial 16S ribosomal RNA". It matches the Rfam family "Bacterial small subunit ribosomal RNA", at positions 355 to 783 of the family's 1533-position model. The record is from RNAcentral.